This 1372-nucleotide ribosomal RNA is filed under the name uncultured bacterium. RNAcentral describes it as "bacterial SSU rRNA". It matches the Rfam family "Bacterial small subunit ribosomal RNA", at positions 28 to 1381 of the family's 1533-position model. The record is from RNAcentral.
GAUGAACGCUGGCGGCGUGCCUAAUACAUGCAAGUCGAGCGAACGGACGAGAAGCUUGCUUCUCUGAUGUUAGCGGCGGACGGGUGAGUAACACGUGGAUAACCUACCUAUAAGACUGGGAUAACUUCGGGAAACCGGAGCUAAUACCGGAUAAUAUUUUGAACCGCAUGGUUCAAAAGUGAAAGACGGUCUUGCUGUCACUUAUAGAUGGAUCCGCGCUGCAUUAGCUAGUUGGUAAGGUAACGGCUUACCAAGGCAACGAUGCAUAGCCGACCUGAGAGGGUGAUCGGCCACACUGGAACUGAGACACGGUCCAGACUCCUACGGGAGGCAGCAGUAGGGAAUCUUCCGCAAUGGGCGAAAGCCUGACGGAGCAACGCCGCGUGAGUGAUGAAGGUCUUCGGAUCGUAAAACUCUGUUAUUAGGGAAGAACAUAUGUGUAAGUAACUGUGCACAUCUUGACGGUACCUAAUCAGAAAGCCACGGCUAACUACGUGCCAGCAGCCGCGGUAAUACGUAGGUGGCAAGCGUUAUCCGGAAUUAUUGGGCGUAAAGCGCGCGUAGGCGGUUUUUUAAGUCUGAUGUGAAAGCCCACGGCUCAACCGUGGAGGGUCAUUGGAAACUGGAAAACUUGAGUGCAGAAGAGGAAAGUGGAAUUCCAUGUGUAGCGGUGAAAUGCGCAGAGAUAUGGAGGAACACCAGUGGCGAAGGCGACUUUCUGGUCUGUAACUGACGCUGAUGUGCGAAAGCGUGGGGAUCAAACAGGAUUAGAUACCCUGGUAGUCCACGCCGUAAACGAUGAGUGCUAAGUGUUAGGGGGGUUCCGCCCCUUAGUGCUGCAGCUAACGCAUUAAGCACUCCGCCUGGGGAGUACGACCGCAAGGUUGAAACUCAAAGGAAUUGACGGGGACCCGCACAAGCGGUGGAGCAUGUGGUUUAAUUCGAAGCAACGCGAAGAACCUUACCAAAUCUUGACAUCCUUUGACAACUCUAGAGAUAGAGCUUUCCCCUUCGGGGGACAAAGUGACAGGUGGUGCAUGGUUGUCGUCAGCUCGUGUCGUGAGAUGUUGGGUUAAGUCCCGCAACGAGCGCAACCCUUAAGCUUAGUUGCCAUCAUUAAGUUGGGCACUCUAAGUUGACUGCCGGUGACAAACCGGAGGAAGGUGGGGAUGACGUCAAAUCAUCAUGCCCCUUAUGAUUUGGGCUACACACGUGCUACAAUGGACAAUACAAAGGGCAGCGAAACCGCGAGGUCAAGCAAAUCCCAUAAAGUUGUUCUCAGUUCGGAUUGUAGUCUGCAACUCGACUACAUGAAGCUGGAAUCGCUAGUAAUCGUAGAUCAGCAUGCUACGGUGAAUACGUUCCCGGGUCU